RNAcentral lists this ribosomal RNA (481 nucleotides) under Ramboldia sanguinolenta. RNAcentral's name for it is "eukaryotic LSU rRNA". It matches the Rfam family "Eukaryotic large subunit ribosomal RNA", at positions 143 to 639 of the family's 3401-position model. The record is from RNAcentral. Lineage: Eukaryota; Fungi; Ascomycota; Lecanoromycetes; Lecanorales; Ramboldiaceae.
GUGUAAUUUGUAGAGGGUGUUUCGGGCACGGCGCCGGUCUAAGUCCCUUGGAACAGGGCGUCGCAGAGGGUGAGAAUCCCGUAUGUGACCGGCGACCAAGCCCGUGUGAAACCCCUUCGACGAGUCGAGUUGUUUGGGAAUGCAGCUCUAAAUGGGUGGUAAAUUUCAUCUAAAGCUAAAUACCGGCCAGAGACCGAUAGCGCACAAGUAGAGUGAUCGAAAGAUGAAAAGCACUUUGGAAAGAGAGUCAAAAAGUACGUGAAAUUGUUGAAAGGGAAGCGUUGGCGACCAGACCUGCCCGCGAGCGAUCAACCGUUGUUCUCAACGGUGCACUCGCUCACGAUCAGGCCAGCAUCGGUUUGGGCGGCCGGAUAAAGGCCGCGAGAAUGUGCCUCCCUUCGGGGAGUGUUACAGCUCGUGGUGCAAUGCGGCCAGCCGGGACCGAGGACCGCGCUUCGGCUAGGAUGCUGGCAUAAUGGCC